RNAcentral lists this small nuclear RNA (23 nucleotides) under Arabidopsis thaliana (thale cress). RNAcentral's name for it is "snRNA_05000". Lineage: Eukaryota; Viridiplantae; Streptophyta; Magnoliopsida; Brassicales; Brassicaceae. The record is from RNAcentral.
UUUAAAAAAUGCUUAAAAUAUAG